This 399-nucleotide RNase P RNA is filed under the name Rhizobium sp. CFBP 8762. RNAcentral's name for it is "RNase P RNA component class A". It matches the Rfam family "Bacterial RNase P class A". From Rfam's summary of the family: Ribonuclease P (RNase P) is a ubiquitous endoribonuclease, found in archaea, bacteria and eukarya as well as chloroplasts and mitochondria. Its best characterised activity is the generation of mature 5'-ends of tRNAs by cleaving the 5'-leader elements of precursor-tRNAs. The record is from RNAcentral. Lineage: Bacteria; Pseudomonadati; Pseudomonadota; Alphaproteobacteria; Hyphomicrobiales; Rhizobiaceae.
CCAGUUGGCCGGGCAGCCGCGCUUCGCUAGGGCCGAAAGGCUGCGAGGGGAGGAAAGUCCGGGCUCCACGGAAACACGGUGCCGGAUAACGUCCGGCGAGGGCGACCUCAGGGACAGUGCCACAGAAAGCAAACCGCCGCUUGUUAGCGGUAAGGGUGAAAGGGUGGGGUAAGAGCCCACCGCGUCUAUGGUAACAUGGUCGGCACGGUAAACCCCACCGGGAGCAAAACCGAAUAGGGACAACGUGGGAUGCGUAAAGCAUUCCGGCUGGUUUCCAGGCCAGUUGUCCGGGUGGGUUGCACGAGGCCGGGCGCAAGUCCGGUCCCAGAUGAAUGGCUGCCACGUUCCGGUUUAACCGCCGGGGCCAUACAGAACCCGGCUUACAGGCCAACUGGCAUC